This 387-nucleotide unclassified non-coding RNA is filed under the name Hevea brasiliensis (rubber tree). The record is from RNAcentral. Lineage: Eukaryota; Viridiplantae; Streptophyta; Magnoliopsida; Malpighiales; Euphorbiaceae.
CAACAUCUUUUUGGGAUGCAAAGGUGGCCAGUCAUAUGCCAACUUUCACCUCCGUCAGGAUACGCAUAAGGGCAUGACGGGGUGUAGGAAUCCUUUAAAACCAGGUUCCAUGUUGCAUUUGGAUCCUCAGUUGCGAAACAGGUCCAAGUAGGAGUAGAAUUUUCAUAUCUACUAUGUGUGAUGCGAUUGAACUUCUUCACAUCCUUGUUCUUAUUUAUGUCAUAGGGGUCUAUGUCAACAGUGAAGACAUCUCCAUAAGGCCUCACAGAGUGCAGGAACAUUGGUAAAGAAAUUGGAUCAACAGACACUGCGGCAAGAUCCGCAGUCACAGCUAUGCUCUUUCCAUCAGGACUGAAACAUGGAUGGUUCACAUGCCCUGCAAGAUCA